Molecule: ribosomal RNA, 254 nt
Filed under: uncultured bacterium
Lineage: Bacteria
Description: partial 16S ribosomal RNA
Rfam family: Bacterial small subunit ribosomal RNA
Source: RNAcentral
UACGAAGGGGGCUAGCGUUGCUCGGAAUUACUGGGCGUAAAGGGCGCGUAGGCGGACAGUUUAGUCAGAGGUGAAAGCCCAGGGCUCAACCUUGGAAUUGCCUUUGAUACUGGCUGUCUUGAGUUCGGGAGAGGUGAGUGGAAUGCCGAGUGUAGAGGUGAAAUUCGUAGAUAUUCGGCGGAACACCAGUGGCGAAGGCGACUCACUGGCCCGAUACUGACGCUGACGGCGCGAAAGCGAGGGGAGCAAACGGG